AGAGUUUGAUCCUGGCUCAGAAUCAACGCUGGCGGCGUGCCUAACACAUGCAAGUCGAACGAGAAAGUGGAGCAAUCCAUGAGUAAAGUGGCGACCGGGUGAGUAACACGUGACCAAUCUACCCUUGAGUGGGGGAUAACCUCGGGAAACCGGGGCUAAUACCGCAUAACAUCUUCGGGACGGAAGUACUGAAGAUCAAAGGAGCAAUUCGCUUAAGGAGGAGGUCGCGGCUGAUUAGCUAGUUGGCGGGGUAAUGGCCCACCAAGGCUUAGAUCGGUAGCCGGCCUGAGAGGGCGCACGGCCACACUGGAACUGAAACACGGUCCAGACUCCUACGGGAGGCAGCAGUGGGGAAUCUCGCGCAAUGGGGGAAACCCUGACGCAGCAACGCCGCGUGGAGGAUGAAGUCCCUUGGGACGUAAACUCUUUCGACCCAGAC
RNAcentral lists this ribosomal RNA (439 nucleotides) under uncultured bacterium. Its description in RNAcentral is "bacterial SSU rRNA". It matches the Rfam family "Bacterial small subunit ribosomal RNA", at positions 8 to 445 of the family's 1533-position model. The record is from RNAcentral.